UCGGUUUUGGUGAUUCCUUCUGCAGCAUAAAGUUCUGAGUUUUCAACAUCCUACUUAUUCCCAAAGGAGGAUUAGCAGAUUCAUAUUGAAUUGAAGGUAAAAAGUUUAUACAGCCUGACUCUCUCCUCUCUGACACUAAUACACUGGAACUCAGAAUUAACUACGUUGAAAUAGUUGGAAUUGCACUAAGACAGAACUGGUAUAAGAAGAAGCAGGCUCACAGAGUUCAAUCAAGCUAUGAGAAGGCUACACUCCAUGGCUAGAAUGUCUAUUUUUUUUCUCUCUGCCUGUGGUUCAGCUAGUUCAUUUUCUCUGAUUGCGUUGUAAAGUGAACUUUGCAUAUACUACAGUGUUGGUUUCCAGCUCAUGUUUAGCAAUAUUAUAAGAGAAGAUGAAAUUGAUAUAGAGCCAGGGUACCCUCCACUGUUCUUUGAAAACAAACCUGGCCCUAAUUUGAGCGGUAUAAACAGUUCCAUGUCCUCAGUAUGCUCUGCCACCACAGAGAGCCUGUGUCACACUUGGUGGUGUGACAUGGGCCCAAGUACAAAUAUGUGUACGCUCUUUUCAUGCUCGACAAGGAACCAGUGGUUCUGUCCUGGGGGGGAAGCAUCUUUAUAUAAAUAUCAUGUUUGUAUUAUGGUUUUCCAAUCAAAACAAAGUGACAAAUAAUUUUCUGAAUCUAGCUGAGGUUUGGAGUUUGUUUGUAAUGUGCAGUCACUGUAAUUAGCAUUUGAAAAAUGAUUCAGUCUAUAAUGCCCAAGGGUAAAAAAGGCUGAAGAGCAGCAGCAGGGACAGAAGGGUAACAUGAGUUAAGGGACCUGCCCACACACAUUCAAUGCUUUCUGCCUUGCCAUCUGGCUGCUCUGCUCUCUGAAGUCAUAUGGUCCUCUGCAUUAACUCUCCUUCCUGGACUCAGGACAACAUAUGAAAAAGCCAACCUUAUCAAAAUGUGACACAUUCAAACUAAAAUAUCUUUUGGGAUCACAGAGAAAUUUUCUAAAGCUAAACUGAAUCCUGUAUAUAACAUGGGCAUGCUACAAAACUUCCAGAGAGAGAGAAAAAUUCUUCUUUACCAGUGCAAUAUAUCUGCAAGAGAAAAAAAAAGCAUUCAGUUGGCUAAUCUGGGAUAAGCUUUUUCUUCAGCACCAAAGGGCAGUGAAGCCUUUCAACAGUAGGCAUUGUGUACUAAAAGUUUCAUAUUAACUGUAGGCUCCAGAAAUCCUAUAUGCUGUUUACUUUUUCCCCUAUUAUUGAGUUGCGAAGUUAACAUCACAGAUUUCAAAGUCUGUGCCUUCAGAUACAGUAUGUGAUUUUGCUUUUGAUCACUUUUUAAAUGAAAAGUAAGUAAGUGAUGUGCGUAUUCUCAAGCAGUGGAUAUUAAGGCCCUUUAGACUCCUUUAAGAAAAAGUAAAAUCACUUGAAAGUGAAAUAAUUGCAUUCAUCAAAGCUAAAGAUCAAAAUUCAAGAUGAUCUGCCUGCCGGGAUUCUUUGUUCACCAUUGCUGCAGUCCUUUUUCCAGCACCAUCUGUAAAACAAGUCAGAGCCUAAGAUUUCAAAAGUGAAGAAAGAAAUUGGGUCACCACCAAGAGAAGAAAAACAACCUAGGAGGAAAAGACCACCUAGUACUGAUGAGGGGCCAGACACCUGCCUUUAAUUGAGUGCCUAAAGAAAACAGCAUAAGCAUGCCCUUUAAUUUGUAAUGAGUACUGACUUGCCUUGACAUAAGCUGUGUACACAGCCACGUGUGUUGUUAGCUGAAUGUCAUAAUGUCAUUCUUAUUUGAUACCUUCAUGCCAGAGUGGGUUAACAUGUACAUGGAACUUAAGCAACACUAAAAUGAGAAAAAAGUGUUGGAGCUACACAACAAAAAAGUAUGGGCAAGGGCCUGAAUGAAUGCAUUGCACU
Molecule: long non-coding RNA, 1905 nt
Organism: Gavialis gangeticus (Gharial)
Lineage: Eukaryota; Metazoa; Chordata; Crocodylia; Gavialidae
Exons: 3
Source: RefSeq, a predicted model, not a curated record